GGUGUGUUUCCCUGACGGUUGCCAAAAAUUGUGCAGUAUGAAAGCUGGAUCGCAAAUGCUACCCUCUCAAAUUGACGGUGCUUACUGUUUACGAGCAUGUGAUGACAUUCUGAAUAAAAUAUCUGAUGUUCGAAAAACUACAUUCAAACCCCACGGUGUAGUAGAAAAAAAGUACUCUGAUGGAGGCUAACAGUCCAGUUGGUCACAUAAGCCUAUUCCGAAGAAACUUAUCGAUGGACAAAUAACCCUCCGUCUCCACUGACGCUCAGCCCAGUUCAGCCGUGCCAAUGACGAAGACUACACCGACGGACGAAUAACGUCUCGCCAGCUGAUUAUUGUCUUGUCUAACAAAUUGAAUUUCUUUGUGCUCCUUUCUGAAUGAAGGCCUGCAGUAU
Molecule: long non-coding RNA, 395 nt
Organism: Malaya genurostris
Lineage: Eukaryota; Metazoa; Arthropoda; Insecta; Diptera; Culicidae
Exons: 3
Source: RefSeq, a predicted model, not a curated record